CGUGCUAAGGUAGCAUAAUCAUUUGCCUUUUAAUUGAAGGCUAGUAUGAAUGGAUAAAUGAGGAUUUAGCUGUCUCUUUUAUAAAAAUAUAAAUUAAUCUUCAGGUGAAGAAGCCUGAAUAAUAAUAAAAGACAAGAAGACCCUAUUGAGCUUUACUUUAACUCUAAUAUAAAAAAUAUUUAUAUAUUAAAAAUAAGGGCUGUAAGUUUGGUUGGGGCGACAAGGGGAAAUUUAAAUCUCCCCAUUAUCUAUAGAUUUACAGAUCAAUUAAUGAUCCGAUAAUUAUUCGACCAGAGGAAAAAGCUACCAUAGGGAUAACAGGCUAAUUCUUCUAAAGAGCCCACAUUGAUAGAAGAGAUUGGCACCUCGAUG
This 372-nucleotide ribosomal RNA is filed under the name Aglaophamus sp. MB4. Its description in RNAcentral is "partial 16S ribosomal RNA". It matches the Rfam family "Bacterial large subunit ribosomal RNA", at positions 1947 to 2531 of the family's 2925-position model. The record is from RNAcentral. Lineage: Eukaryota; Metazoa; Annelida; Polychaeta; Phyllodocida; Nephtyidae.